CGCUCCCGCUCCGUCCGUGGCAGCUGCUCCUCCGUUCCCGGUUUCUUCGUUUCUCAGCGCUACCGCCGGCCCCUGCGCCGCAGAUUAGCAUAGCCCCGCCCCUCCCUGUUGGCCGGGGCAACGAGAGAGAGAGAAGCUGCAGCUUGCUGGCCGCAAAGCGGUCCUGUGUGUGGACUUAUCUCCAGGAAGAUGGCCAUCUCAGGAGGUGCUGCACGACUCUUAGCCAAGCGCCCAGGAAUGCCACGUUGGCAGAAAAAGAAGGAUAAAAGAGAAAGCGAAAACCAGGAGGUUUGGAGGUUUUUCUGGCAACAGAUUCCUCAUGAAGAAGAAGAGGUUUCUUUUCCCACUAAAUCUGAGCCAAGGGAAGUAAGGCUUGCAGCGGUCAGCCUUGCCCCCAGGCCACCUGGCCCAAAGCUCGGUGGGACUGGAAGGGUCUCGUUGCCCUUAAAAACCGGUAGGCGGAAUAUUGACCAUAAAUGUAAUUGUCUCUGGACACUGGCUGGCACAAGGGUGUCCACGAGAUCCGAGGAAUGGAUUACACACAGCCAGGUUAGAGGAGUUAGUUAACUGGUGGCCAGAACAGAAGCUCAAGGAUCUCGAGGAAAGCACAAGCCCAGGUCCGAGGGCCUCGCAGGGAACCUGAGCGGCUCUCCAAGCCAAAAACCCGAUGUCUUCGCCCCUCCAAAACACUCCUGUGGACCUUGACUGAACGCAGAAAGGACUCUAAUGUUUUGUGACAGAAGUAUUGAGAAUUAGAUCAUGCUAUAAUGCUGAAUGUA
Molecule: non-coding RNA, 779 nt
Organism: Meleagris gallopavo (turkey)
Lineage: Eukaryota; Metazoa; Chordata; Aves; Galliformes; Phasianidae
Source: RefSeq, a predicted model, not a curated record